AUUGAACGCUGGCGGCAUGCCUUACACAUGCAAGUCGAACGGUAACGGGCCUUCGGGUGCCGACGAGUGGCGAACGGGGGAGUAAUACAUCGGAACGUGCCCGAUCGUGGGGAAUAACGAGGCGAAAGCUUUGCUAAUACCGCAUACGAUCUACGGAUGAAAGCAGGGGACCGCAAUGCCUUGCGCGGACGGAGCGGCCGAUGGCAGAUUAGGUAGUUGGUGGGAUAAAAGCUUACCAAGCCGACGAUCUGUAGCUGGUCUGAGAGGGUGAUCAGCCACACUGGGACUGAGACACGGCCCAGACUCCUACGGGAGGCAGCAGUGGGGAAUUUUGGACAAUGGGCGCAAGCCUGAUCCAGCCAUGCCGCGUGCAGGAUGAAGGCCUUCGGGUUGUAAACUGCUUUUGUACGGAACGAAAAGCCUUCUUUUAAUACAGGAGGGUCAUGACGGUACCGUAAGAAUAAGCACCGGCUAACUACGUG
Molecule: ribosomal RNA, 482 nt
Filed under: uncultured bacterium
Lineage: Bacteria
Description: partial 16S ribosomal RNA
Rfam family: Bacterial small subunit ribosomal RNA
Source: RNAcentral